This 1461-nucleotide ribosomal RNA is filed under the name Triticum aestivum (bread wheat). RNAcentral describes it as "partial small subunit ribosomal RNA". Lineage: Eukaryota; Viridiplantae; Streptophyta; Magnoliopsida; Poales; Poaceae. The record is from RNAcentral.
AUGCGGGAGGACGAGCUGCUUUGCGACGCAUGGUUGACCACUAGCCUCGAUCCUGUCCAUGGCACGGAGCAAAAGGGCACAACCUUUUGGAGGAACAUUCAUAUAUGGUUCCAUGAGAAUAAGCAUUUCAUGCCCUACUCCAACGCGUUGAUCCGCAACCGUGAGUGGAAGUCCCUCGCCCUUCGAUUGUACACCAUCCAAGAGGUCGUCUCCAAGUAUUGCGGGCACUUGAAGCAUCUCACCGCGCGGUGGCCUAGAGGUGCACAAAUCACCGAGCAAUUGGAGAAGAAGUCCUUCACCGUCAUGCAUUGUUGGUUAAAGUUGAAUGGGGCAACCGAAGUGGAACCUUUUCAUUGCCAAGACCACCGCCUAAGCCAACGAGGAAGAAACCGUGAACCUACCGACCCAGCCCAAGAAUCGUCGAAGAAGGUUAGAAGAAAUCCGCGGGGCAAGAAGUGGGAGGAGGAGAGGGCGAAGCGAGAAGGUGCAGCGCCCAAGUUGACGGAGGGUUUGAGGAGAUCUUGGCGAAGAAGGAAGAGGCAUGCGAAGAAUAUCAAGCUCAAAGAGAGGAGGACCAUGAUCGAGGAGAGAAAGGCGACGCUCGGGGAGAAGAAGGCCGCACUCGAGGAAAAGAGGGUGAAGAUCACUGCCAAUGCGGAGGACACCAAGAUGUUGACAUUGAAUAUCAACUCUUCGGAUGGCAAUGCUAGAAUUAUUGUGCAAUCCAUCCGCUACAAGAUGUUGGAGCGGCAGAAAGAUCAGUUGGCAACGGUGCAAGAUGAGGACAUGGCGAAGGCGGACGCGGACGCGGAGGCUGCCUACAUGGUGACGAAACUAAGCAUAUUUGCUCCUUUUGGUUCUGAUCGGGGAUGCGAUCCGGCGCGGAUACGCAGGGAUGACAAUGUGUACCCAUUAUCCACGUACCCGAUGGGUAAAAAGCAACGGUAUGGGACAAAAAGUCAUCAUGGUGCCCGUUUACCUUGUCCAGUGACAGGCUCAAAGGGAACAUGUAAGGGUAUGGGGUGGAUCAACUUGUAUCCUAACCCGGUGGGUGCCAUCCCUAUACAUAGGGAGGUUUUUCUCAAUAAAAGGUCGACGGCGACAAUGACGCCGAGAUGUGACGACAACUCCGUAGCUGCCGCAAGCCAUAGAGGCAACCACUCCCAUCCAACCGAUGAGGCCGAAAAUAGAGUGGACGGAGGGGGGAAAGCUGGGAAAUUAAUACUUGCGAGUUUAAUCAAGCCCGCCUUCCCGCAGAAAUGGACGGGGAUUUCCGUGGUAACCAAGCCGUCUCCCGUGUUCUCACUUUCCUCGCUUCCCAACUCUGACUCGCAAGCGCAAGCCAAGCCACCACCUUCUUCCCUCCCCCGUUCCGUCCCAAGGGACUCCCACGCCCUACAAAACCCCCGUCCUCCCAGCUUCCCUCCCAGCACCAGCAGCAGUCCCACCUCACCCGAAUAA